Molecule: ribosomal RNA, 427 nt
Filed under: uncultured bacterium
Lineage: Bacteria
Description: partial 16S ribosomal RNA
Rfam family: Bacterial small subunit ribosomal RNA
Source: RNAcentral
UGGGGAAUAUUGCACAAUGGGCGCAAGCCUGAUGCAGCCAUGCCGCGUGUAUGAAGAAGGCCUUCGGGUUGUAAAGUACUUUCAGCGGGGAGGAAGGCGAUAAGGUUAAUAACCUUGUCGAUUGACGUUACCCGCAGAAGAAGCACCGGCUAACUCCGUGCCAGCAGCCGCGGUAAUACGGAGGGUGCAAGCGUUAAUCGGAAUUACUGGGCGUAAAGCGCACGCAUGCGGUCUGUCAAGUCGGAUGUGAAAUCCCCGGGCUCAACCUGGGAACUGCAUUCGAAACUGGCAGGCUAGAGUCUUGUAGAGGGGGGUAGAAUUCCAGGUGUAGCGGUGAAAUGCGUAGAGAUCUGGAGGAAUACCGGUGGCGAAGGCGGCCCCCUGGACAAAGACUGACGCUCAGGUGCGAAAGCGUGGGGAGCAAACA